RNAcentral lists this ribosomal RNA (264 nucleotides) under uncultured bacterium. RNAcentral describes it as "partial 16S ribosomal RNA". It matches the Rfam family "Bacterial small subunit ribosomal RNA", at positions 90 to 354 of the family's 1533-position model. The record is from RNAcentral.
UUCGAGUGGCGGACGGGUGAGUAACGCGUGGGUAACCUGCCUUACACAGGGGGAUAACACCUGGAAACAGGUGCUUAUACCGCAUAAGCGCACAGGGCCGCAUGGCCCGGUGUGAAAAACUCCGGUGGUGUAAGAUGGACCCGCGUCUGAUUAGCUUGUUGGCGGGGUAGGGGCCCACCAAGGCGACGAUCAGUAGCCGGCCUGAGAGGGUGGACGGCCACAUUGGGACUGAGACACGGCCCAAACUCCUACGGGAGGCAGCAG